RNAcentral lists this RNase P RNA (227 nucleotides) under Staphylococcus aureus. RNAcentral's name for it is "partial RNase P RNA component class B". It matches the Rfam family "Bacterial RNase P class B", at positions 166 to 365 of the family's 365-position model. From Rfam's summary of the family: Ribonuclease P (RNase P) is a ubiquitous endoribonuclease, found in archaea, bacteria and eukarya as well as chloroplasts and mitochondria. Its best characterised activity is the generation of mature 5'-ends of tRNAs by cleaving the 5'-leader elements of precursor-tRNAs. Cellular RNase Ps are ribonucleoproteins. Lineage: Bacteria; Bacillati; Bacillota; Bacilli; Caryophanales; Staphylococcaceae. The record is from RNAcentral.
GAAAGUGCCACAGUGACGUAGCUUUUAUAGAAAUAUAAAAGGUGGAACGCGGUAAACCCCUCGAGUGAGCAAUCCAAAUUUGGUAGGAGCACUUGUUUAACGGAAUUCAACGUAUAAACGAGACACACUUCGCGAAAUGAAGUGGUGUAGACAGAUGGUUAUCACCUGAGUACCAGUGUGACUAGUGCACGUGAUGAGUACGAUGGAACAGAACAUGGCUUAUAGAA